CCUUGUGUGGUGCAAACGGUUAACGCAUUCAGCUGCUACCCGAAAAGUUGGUGGUUUGAGUCCACCCAGAGGCA
Molecule: transfer RNA, 74 nt
Filed under: Loxodonta africana (African savanna elephant)
Lineage: Eukaryota; Metazoa; Chordata; Mammalia; Proboscidea; Elephantidae
Rfam family: tRNA
About the family: Transfer RNA (tRNA) molecules are approximately 80 nucleotides in length. Their secondary structure includes four short double-helical elements and three loops (D, anti-codon, and T loops).
Source: Rfam by way of RNAcentral